Molecule: ribosomal RNA, 253 nt
Filed under: uncultured bacterium
Lineage: Bacteria
Description: partial 16S ribosomal RNA
Rfam family: Bacterial small subunit ribosomal RNA
Source: RNAcentral
UACAGAGGUCUCAAGCGUUGUUCGGAUUUAUUGGGCGUAAAGGGUGCGUAGGCGGCGCGGUAAGUCGGGUGUGAAAUCUCGGAGCUUAACUCCGAAACUGCAUUCGAUACUGCCGUGCUUGAGGACUGGAGAGGAGACUGGAAUUUACGGUGUAGCGGUGAAAUGCGUAGAUAUCGUAAGGAAGACCAGUGGCGAAGGCGGGUCUCUGGACAGUUCCUGACGCUGAGGCGCGAAGGCCAGGGGAGCAAACGGG